RNAcentral lists this transfer RNA (68 nucleotides) under Marmota monax (woodchuck). RNAcentral's name for it is "tRNA.Ala". Lineage: Eukaryota; Metazoa; Chordata; Mammalia; Rodentia; Sciuridae. The record is from RNAcentral.
GGAUUGUGGCUCAGGGGUAGAGCGCACACCUAGCAUUCAUGAGGCACUGGGUUCAAGUCUCAGCACCA